AUAUUGUUUCCUCCGUCCGGAAAUACUUGUCAUCAAAAUGAAUAAAAAAGGAUGUAUCUAGAUGUAGAUACAUCCCUUUUUAUUCAUUUUGAUGACAAGUAUUUCCGGACGGAGGAAGUGACAU
Triticum urartu is the source of this 124-nucleotide non-coding RNA. Lineage: Eukaryota; Viridiplantae; Streptophyta; Magnoliopsida; Poales; Poaceae. The record is from Rfam.